GAUGAACGCUAGCUACAGGCUUAACACAUGCAAGUCGAGGGGCAUCAGGAAGAAAGCUUGCUUUCUUUGCUGGCGGCCGGCGCACGGGUGAGUAACACGUAUCCAACCUGCCCUUUACUCGGGGAUAGCCUUUCGAAAGAAAGAUUAAUACCCGAUGGGAUAAUGAUUCCGCAUGGUUUGAUUAUUAAAGGAUUCCGGUAAAGGAUGGGGAUGCGUUCCAUUAGGUUGUUGGUGAGGGAACGGCUCACCAAGCCUUCGAUGGAUAGGGGUUCUGAGAGGAAAGUCCCCCACACUGGAACUGAGGCAAGGUCCAAACUCCGACCGGAGGCAGCAGUGAGGAAUAUUGGUCAAUGGGCGCGAGCCUGAACCAGCCAAGUAGCAUGAAGGAUGACUGCCCUAUGGGUUGUAAACUUCUUUUAUAUUAGAAUAAAGUGCAGUAUGUAUACUGUUUUGUAUGUAUAAUAUGAAUAAGGAUCGGCUAACUCCGUGCCAGCCGCCGCCGUAA
RNAcentral lists this ribosomal RNA (505 nucleotides) under uncultured bacterium. Its description in RNAcentral is "partial 16S ribosomal RNA". It matches the Rfam family "Bacterial small subunit ribosomal RNA", at positions 28 to 523 of the family's 1533-position model. The record is from RNAcentral.